RNAcentral lists this ribosomal RNA (406 nucleotides) under uncultured bacterium. Its description in RNAcentral is "partial 16S ribosomal RNA". It matches the Rfam family "Bacterial small subunit ribosomal RNA", at positions 29 to 526 of the family's 1533-position model. The record is from RNAcentral.
AUUGAACGCUGGCGGCAGGCCUAACACAUGCAAGUCGGGCGAGAGGCGGACGGGUGAGUGAUGUAUGGGGACCUGCCUGAUGGAGGGGGAUAACUAGUGGAAACGGUAGCUAAAGCCGCAUAACAUGAGAUGAACCCAUAUGGGAUUAGCUGGUGGGUAAGGUAACGGCUUACCUAGGCGACGAUCCCUAGCUGGUCUGAGAGGAUGAUCAGCCACACUGGGACUGAGACACGGCCCAGACUCCUACGGGAGGCAGCAGUGGGGAAUCUUGCACAAUGGGCGAAAGCCUGAUUCAGCAAUGCCGCGUGUAUGAAGAAGGCCUUCGGGUUGUAAAGUACUGUCAGUCGGGAGGCGGUACCGAAAGAGGAAGCAACGGCUAACUCCGUGCCAGCAGCCGCGGUAAUAC